RNAcentral lists this ribosomal RNA (167 nucleotides) under uncultured bacterium. Its description in RNAcentral is "partial 16S rRNA". It matches the Rfam family "Bacterial small subunit ribosomal RNA", at positions 355 to 514 of the family's 1533-position model. The record is from RNAcentral.
UAGGGAAUCUUCCACAAUGGACGCAAGUCUGAUGGAGCAACGCCGCGUGAGUGAAGAAGGUCUUCGGAUCGUAAAGCUCAGUUGUUGGUGAAGAAGGAUAGAGGCAGUAACUGGUCUUUAUUUGACGGUAAUCAACCAGAAAGUCACGGCUAACUACGUGCCAGCAG